CGUAACACGUGAGCAACCUACCGAACUGUGGGGGAUAGCCGGCCUAACGGCCGAGUAAUACCGCAUACGCUUUCAGUGAGGCAUUUCAUGAAAGGAAACCUACGGGACAGAUCGAGGGGCUCGCGGCCUAUCAGCUAGUUGGCGAGGUAACGGCUCACCAAGGCAACGACGGGUAGCUGGUCUGAGAGGAUGGCCAGCCACAUUGGGACUGAGAUACGGCCCAG
RNAcentral lists this ribosomal RNA (224 nucleotides) under uncultured bacterium. RNAcentral's name for it is "partial 16S ribosomal RNA". It matches the Rfam family "Bacterial small subunit ribosomal RNA", at positions 109 to 334 of the family's 1533-position model. The record is from RNAcentral.